This is a long non-coding RNA of Homalodisca vitripennis (glassy-winged sharpshooter), 545 nucleotides long. RefSeq lists it as uncharacterized. The transcript is spliced from 2 exons. The record is from RefSeq and is a predicted model, not a curated record. Lineage: Eukaryota; Metazoa; Arthropoda; Insecta; Hemiptera; Cicadellidae.
AUUCUUUCAUCUUUUUGUUUCAGCUGUCUCCACUGCAGUGUCCGCACUCUGUUGGAAAUCACAACAUUUACUGGAAUCAGAACGACCAAGACAACGACACCCGCUAAAGUGGCCACUCCUGCAAAGAUACAAGGAAGUACAUGCACGCUAUGAUGGAUAAUAGAGUUGUCCAACUGAGGUGCAAGUAUACAGUUGUGUCGACUAACCGUUGAGCAUCCACCGCCAUCACGUUCACAAUCUCACCGAAGGAUCUGGUCUUCCUGGCAGAGCUGGAGAUACGGAGAGCCUAGACAAGCAUUGUCAUCAUUUAUAUGACCUACAGUAUUGAAAAACAAUUCUUUGCCUAUGAAAGGUUUUGGAAAGGCAAUGGAAUCAACUUGGCAUGUUUUCCUUCAAGGUUUUAAGGCUAUUGUUUGGGUAUUUAGCCAUUGGCUCUUAUAGUAGCUUUCAGAUACCACAUUCUUCAUUCUAGAUUGCAUACAUAGACGUAUAUGAAAUAUUUAAUAUGUAUAUCAGUAAAAAAAAUAUAUAAAAAAAUAACAUAA